Molecule: ribosomal RNA, 549 nt
Filed under: uncultured bacterium
Lineage: Bacteria
Description: bacterial SSU rRNA
Rfam family: Bacterial small subunit ribosomal RNA
Source: RNAcentral
GGAACACGUACGCAACCUUCCCAAAACUGAUGAAUAGCCUUCCGAAAGGAAGAUUAAUACAUCGUAACAUAACGAGAUGGCAUCAUCUUGUUAUUAUAGCUCCGGCGGUUUUGGAUGGGCGUGCGCCUGAUUAGGUAGUUGGCGGGGUAACGGCCCACCAAGCCUGCGAUCAGUAACUGGUGUGAGAGCACGACCAGUCACACGGGCACUGAGACACGGGCCCGACUCCUACGGGAGGCAGCAGUAAGGAAUAUUGGUCAAUGGACGCAAGUCUGAACCAGCCAUGCCGCGUGAAGGAUGAAGGCCCUCUGGGUUGUAAACUUCUUUUAUCUGGGACGAAAAAAGGGGAUUCUUCCCCACUUGACGGUACCAGAGGAAUAAGCACCGGCUAACUCCGUGCCAGCAGCCGCGGUAAUACGGAGGGUGCAAGCGUUAUCCGGAUUUACUGGGUUUAAAGGGUGCGUAAGUGGGUAUGUAAGUCAGUGGUGAAAUCUUCGAGCUUAACUCGGAAACUGGCAUUGAUACUAUAUAUCUUGAAUUAUCUGGAGG